RNAcentral lists this unclassified non-coding RNA (313 nucleotides) under Hevea brasiliensis (rubber tree). Lineage: Eukaryota; Viridiplantae; Streptophyta; Magnoliopsida; Malpighiales; Euphorbiaceae. The record is from RNAcentral.
UUUUGCAUCUCCUUCUAUAAUGUGAGCACCCAAAAUGCCCAGAUCCAAAUUCCAUGGCAUUCGCAAGUGCAUCUUCACUGUGAUUUGUUGGGAUCUCAAUUCUAGUGUCCAUUAUCUUUGAAGUUUGACCAUUCUGCUCCAUCUUCCUACUCAACUUUCUACAUUUGCUAAGAUCGGAUUGGGGCUUAAUUCUAGCCAUUUCUAUAUCUUGACAAUUUAUCUCCUCCAUUUUCCUCACUAACUUGGAAAUGAGCACACAUAACAGAAAGAUGAAAGGUAGAAGGGUCAUUUUAAUGGGAUUAUCUAAAUUUCG